UAUUUGGGGGGGCUUAGGAACAUUUUGGGGUAGCUUUAGACCCCCUAAAAGAGACCUAAAGACAUCCAUGGAGUCUAGAGAAACACACACACACA
Long non-coding RNA from Etheostoma cragini (Arkansas darter), 95 nucleotides. RefSeq lists it as uncharacterized. The transcript has 3 exons. Lineage: Eukaryota; Metazoa; Chordata; Actinopteri; Perciformes; Percidae. The record is from RefSeq and is a predicted model, not a curated record.